This 253-nucleotide ribosomal RNA is filed under the name uncultured bacterium. Its description in RNAcentral is "partial 16S ribosomal RNA". It matches the Rfam family "Bacterial small subunit ribosomal RNA", at positions 524 to 776 of the family's 1533-position model. The record is from RNAcentral.
UACGUAGGGGGCUAGCGUUGUCCGGAAUCAUUGGGCGUAAAGCGCGCGUAGGCGGUCAGGUAAGUCCGGUGUGAAAGUCAAAGGCUCAACCUUUGAAUGCCGCUGGAUACUGCCUGACUUGAGUCCGGAAGGGGCGAGUGGAAUUCCUGGUGUAGCGGUGAAGUGCGCAGAUAUCAGGAGGAACACCAAUGGCGAAGGCAGCUCGCUGGGACGGUACUGACGCUGAGACGCGAAAGCGUGGGGAGCAAACAGG